Molecule: ribosomal RNA, 749 nt
Filed under: uncultured bacterium
Lineage: Bacteria
Description: bacterial SSU rRNA
Rfam family: Bacterial small subunit ribosomal RNA
Source: RNAcentral
ACGCUGGCGGCAGGCCUAACACAUGCAAGUCGAGCGGUAGAGAGAAGCUUGCUUCUCUUGAGAGCGGCGGACGGGUGAGUAAUGCCUAGGAAUCUGCCUGGUAGUGGGGGAUAACGUUCGGAAACGGACGCUAAUACCGCAUACGUCCUACGGGAGAAAGCAGGGGACCUUCGGGCCUUGCGCUAUCAGAUGAGCCUAGGUCGGAUUAGCUAGUUGGUGGGGUAAUGGCUCACCAAGGCGACGAUCCGUAACUGGUCUGAGAGGAUGAUCAGUCACACUGGAACUGAGACGCGGUCCAGACUCCUACGGGAGGCAGCAGUGGGGAAUAUUGGACAAUGGGCGAAAGCCUGAUCCAGCCAUGCCGCGUGUGUGAAGAAGGUCUUCGGAUUGUAAAGCACUUUAAGUUGGGAGGAAGGGUUGUAGAUUAAUACUCUGCAAUUUUGACGUUACCGACAGAAUAAGCACCGGCUAACCCUGUGCCAGCAGCCGCGGUAAUACAGAGGGUGCAAGCGUUAAUCGGAAUUACUGGGCGUAAAGCGCGCGUAGGUGGUUAGUUAAGUUGGAUGUGAAAUCCCCGGGCUCAACCUGGGAACUGCAUUCAAAACUGACUGACUAGAGUAUGGUAGAGGGUGGUGGAAUUUCCUGUGUAGCGGUGAAAUGCGUAGAUAUAGGAAGGAACACCAGUGGCGAAGGCGACCACCUGGACUGAUACUGACACUGAGGUGCGAAAGCGUGGGGAGCAAACAGGA